RNAcentral lists this long non-coding RNA (1272 nucleotides) under Phasianus colchicus (ring-necked pheasant). RNAcentral's name for it is "lncRNA (ENSPCLG00000007544.1)". The record is from RNAcentral. Lineage: Eukaryota; Metazoa; Chordata; Aves; Galliformes; Phasianidae.
UUUAAUAAUUCUAAAUAUCUGCCUCCUCAGAGUGGACAUAUCACUGCCAUCAGAAUCAAAACCAAUUUCUUAAAAGUUGAGAAGAUGUUGAUGAACUUAGUUAGAACAGAAUGUUUCUUUAUGCAUCUAUCAUACAAGACUCAGCCAUGCAGUUUCACACAGGUGAUGGCAGUAGGCAUCAACCAAGCAAGAAUCCAAUUUGUAAAAGCUUUCACUUUAUCACGUCAUCCUUGAAGGAUGCUCUAUAUGGUAACUGUAUGAGCUAUCCAUAAUAAAUGAUCCACAGGGAAAAGUGAUUAAUCAUAUCUGGAGUUGUUAGUUUAGCAAGGUAAAACACAUUCCAGUGCCUUACUGAUAUAUAUUUAGAGGCACAGAUUCAAUGACCGAAGUGGAUGGGUAAAAAAUCCCUAGUUAUGUAAUUUAUUUUAAGAAAGUUCUUUGUUAAAGAAAAGCCAUGAAGGCAACUUCCUAUAGCACAAUCAAAUGAGCACAGGAAAAGAGUGAUCUCUUCUGGCACACACAUGGACUGGUCAGAUGGCUGAUAUUUGCAACAAACAUAGGAUCACACUAAACAGAUGGCAAAAAAAAAAAAAAAAAAAAAACCUUCUUUUUUUGCUCUAUUUCCCAAAAGAGAAAACAAUUGACACACGAUAUGCCAUGACAUAUUGUCCCAGUCUGUUCUGCAUCUAGCUGUAACAUUUCAUAACACUUCUUUCUUCAAAUGAAGAAAGCAGACUUGAUCUCUAACAUCCUUCCCUCACCACUAAAGUUUCGUUGGUAUUUAUUUUCUUAUUAAAGUAAUUUAGUAACUUCGGCCAAAUUUCUUUUGCUGUUAUAUCAGGUACUGACAGAUAAUAUACAGGCAUGAGCAUCCUGAGUUUUUCCCCAGCAAACUUUUACUGUGACUCACCACAACUCAUUUCAUGUAAAGGAAGUAUAACAGGAAACAGAAAUCUAGGCACCUGUUAACUUCUGAGUAAUUAGUGAAACAUAUAAUGUCUGCACUAAAUUUUCUUCAUCAUACAGUAACUGGAAUUCAUCAGAGUAAGACCCAAGCAUUUUAAUAGUCAAAGCAACUUGUACAGUUAUCUUGUGAAUUUCCCUUUCCAAGAUUAUGGACUAUGAUUUAAGAUUCUGGAUCACAGUAAAUAAUAUUCUGAAUAUUAACCAGCUAUAAUACAGAUUCUUAAAAGUAUCCCACCAGAACUUUUCAAAAUACAAUUGGUCCUUUUUCUUUUUUUUUCAAAAAAUAUCAUAAAUCCUCAUCUCUUC